AUCAGAAAGCCACGGCUAACUACGUGCCAGCAGCCGCGGUAAUACGUAGGUGGCAAGCGUURUCCGGAAUUAUUGGGCGUAAAGGGCUCGYAGGCGGUUUUUUAAGUCUGAUGUGAAAGCCCCCGGCUCAACCGGGGAGGGUCAUUGGAAACUGGGAAACUUGAGUGCAGAAGAGGAAAGUGGAAUUCCAYGUGUAGCGGUGAAAUGCGCAGAGAUAUGGAGGAACACCAAUGGCGAAAGCGACUUUCHGGUCUGUAACUGACGCUGAUGUGCGAAAGCGUGGGGAUCAAACAGGAUUAGAUACCCUGGUAGUCCACGCCGUAAACGAUGAGUGCUAAGUGUUAGGGGGUUUCCGCCCCUUAGUGCUGCAGCUAACGCAUUUAGCACUCCGCCUGGGGAGUACGACCGCCAGAUUGAAACUC
This 422-nucleotide ribosomal RNA is filed under the name uncultured Bacillus sp. RNAcentral describes it as "bacterial SSU rRNA". It matches the Rfam family "Bacterial small subunit ribosomal RNA", at positions 482 to 902 of the family's 1533-position model. Lineage: Bacteria; Bacillati; Bacillota; Bacilli; Caryophanales; Bacillaceae. The record is from RNAcentral.